CUUGCUUCUCUUGAGAGCGGCGGACGGGUGAGUAAUGCCUAGGAAUCUGCCUGGUAGUGGGGGAUAACGUUCGGAAACGGACGCUAAUACCGCAUACGUCCUACGGGAGAAAGCAGGGGACCUUCGGGCCUUGCGCUAUCAGAUGAGCCUAGGUCGGAUUAGCUAGUUGGUGAGGUAAUGGCUCACCAAGGCGACGAUCCGUAACUGGUCUGAGAGGAUGAUCAGUCACACUGGAACUGAGACACGGUCCAGACUCCUACGGGAGGCAGCAGUGGGGAAUAUUGGACAAUGGGCGAAAGCCUGAUCCAGCCAUGCCGCGUGUGUGAAGAAGGUCUUCGGAUUGUAAAGCACUUUAAGUUGGGAGGAAGGGUUGUAGAUUAAUACUCUGCAAUUUUGACGUUACCGACAGAAUAAGCACCGGCUAACUCUGUGCCAGCAGCCGCGGUAAUACAGAGGGUGCAAGCGUUAAUCGGAAUUACUGGGCGUAAAGCGCGCGUAGGUGGUUUGUUAAGUUGGAUGUGAAAUCCCCGGGCUCAACCUGGGAACUGCAUUCAAAACUGACUGACUAGAGUAUGGUAGAGGGUGGUGGAAUUUCCUGUGUAGCGGUGAAAUGCGUAGAUAUAGGAAGGAACACCAGUGGCGAAGGCGACCACCUGGACUAAUACUGACACUGAGGUGCGAAAGCGUGGGGAGCAAACAGGAUUAGAUACCCUGGUAGUCCACGCCGUAAACGAUGUCAACUAGCCGUUGGAAGCCUUGAGCUUUUAGUGGCGCAGCUAACGCAUUAAGUUGACCGCCUG
This 800-nucleotide ribosomal RNA is filed under the name uncultured bacterium. Its description in RNAcentral is "bacterial SSU rRNA". It matches the Rfam family "Bacterial small subunit ribosomal RNA", at positions 79 to 875 of the family's 1533-position model. The record is from RNAcentral.